UAAUAAAGUUUUAUUUUAGCUUAAAAAAUUUAUUAUUAAUUUAUAUUAUAUGUAAAUUUUUGUGUGAAUUUUUAUUUAUUUAAAAAGUAAAUAUUUUUAUUUAUUUACAGUAAUUAAUAUUAUAAAUUAAAGAGAUUUAGAAAUAGAAAUAUUAAUUAAUAUUGACUUAAUUUGUGCCAGCAGUUGCGGUUAUACAAAUAAUAUGAGUAAAUUUUAUUAAUUAAAGUUAAAUUGUUUUAUUAUAAAUAUAAAAUAAAUUAUUAGGUGAAAUUUUAAUUUAUUAAUUUUUAAAUUAAAAUUAAUUGAAACUUGAAAAUUUUAAUUAAAAACUAGGAUUAGAUACCCUAUUAUUUAAAAUGAAAACUUAAUUGUUUGAGUAGUAAUAGAUAUGAUCUUGAAACUUAAAAAAUUUGGCGGUAUUUUAGUCUAUUCAGAGGAACUUGUUAUAUAAUCGAUAAUCCACGAUGUACCUUACUUAAAUUUGUUAAUCAAUUUAUAUACCGUUGUUAUUAGAAUAUUUUAUAAGAAUAAUAAUUUUCUAUAAUUUUUAUUAAAAUUAAUAUCAAAUCAAGGUGUAGUUUAUAUUUAAGAAUUAAUGAGUUACAAUAAAAUUUAUUUAUAUGAAUUUAAAUAUGAAAAAUUUAAUGAAAUUGGAUUUGAUUGUAAAAUUAUAAAGAUAAAUAAUUUGAUUUUAGCUCUAAAAUAUGUACAUAUCGCCCGUCGCUCUUAUUAUUAAAGUAAGAUAAGUCGUAACAUAGUAGAUGUACUGGAAAGUGUAUCUGGAAU
RNAcentral lists this non-coding RNA (786 nucleotides) under Volucella rufimargina. The record is from RNAcentral. Lineage: Eukaryota; Metazoa; Arthropoda; Insecta; Diptera; Syrphidae.